Non-coding RNA from Cladochytrium replicatum, 82 nucleotides. The record is from the annotation of a GenBank genome assembly. NCBI's taxonomy places the organism in Eukaryota, Fungi, Chytridiomycota, Chytridiomycetes, Cladochytriales, Cladochytriaceae.
GUCAGUAUGUCCGAGUGGUUAAGGAGACAGACUUGAAAUCUGUUGCGUUCUACGCUCACAGGUUCAAAUCCUGUUGCUGACG